UUAAGUGAUGAUAGCCUAGGAGAUACACCUGUUCCCAUGCCGAACACAGAAGUUAAGCCCUAGAACGCCUGAAGUAGUUGGGGGUUUCCCCCUGUUAGAUAUGGUAGUCGCUUAGC
Non-coding RNA from Streptococcus gallolyticus, 116 nucleotides. The record is from Rfam. NCBI's taxonomy places the organism in Bacteria, Bacillati, Bacillota, Bacilli, Lactobacillales, Streptococcaceae.